AUAUAUAGUAAAAGUUAUACUUAUAAUUUAAUCUUUGUUUCGUUUGUUGAAUAUAGUUAAAAGACAUUUGUGGGUUAUUAUACUUAAAAAUAAAAAAGAGCAAUUGAUGAUAAUAAAAGAAGAAGAAAAAAACAUACUGUGAAAAUGAGAUUGUAGCCAUGUUUGAGAACAUCCAAGAGGAACUGAGUUCUCUUCCACAUCAUCUUGAGGAAAUCUUGAGACAUGAAAACUUUCUCGCCUUUGAAAUCAACACCAUCUGUUUCCAAUUUGAUGCAGUUCAUCUUCAGAAAUUGACAUCUUUCAUAGGCAAUUUGAUCAACAGCAACUAAGAGAAUGUGAUCAAUGAGAUAUCUUGUUCCCUCUCCAAGCCAAAAGCUGUUGAGAAAUAGAUCAAGCAUUGUGUUGUCACUCUCCACAUCUUGCUCAGCAUAAGCCCUAUUCACUACGGCAAUUAUCACUGUUUUGUUUCCCAUUGCAGUUUUUGCUAAAGCACACUCAAGGGCAUCUCCACACGCUUCACUCUUUGAAUUGUUCUACAAUGUUUGCACAAACUUCAGCUAAUCAAACUUCUCAAACACUUCACUUUAUAAUGUCGAGAUGUCUUCUGCCAACUGUAACGAUAAG
This 624-nucleotide small RNA is filed under the name Vigna angularis var. angularis. Its description in RNAcentral is "Non-protein coding transcript". The record is from RNAcentral. Lineage: Eukaryota; Viridiplantae; Streptophyta; Magnoliopsida; Fabales; Fabaceae.